Molecule: ribosomal RNA, 510 nt
Filed under: uncultured bacterium
Lineage: Bacteria
Description: bacterial SSU rRNA
Rfam family: Bacterial small subunit ribosomal RNA
Source: RNAcentral
AGCCUGACGCAGCGACGCCGCGUGAGGGAUGAAGCUUCUCGGAGUGUAAACCUCUUUCGACCCGGACGAAGGCCCGCAAGGGCUUGACGGUACGGGGGGAAGAAGCCCCGGCUAACUACGUGCCAGCAGCCGCGGUAAAACGUAGGGGGCCAGCGUUGCUCGGAAUUACUGGGCGUAAAGGGUCUGUAGGCGGUGCGGUAAGUCCGGAGUGAAAUCUCCAGGCUCAACUUGGAGGCUGCUUUGGAAACUGCCGUGCUCGAGUGCGGGAGAGGCGCGCGGAAUUGCAGGUGUAGCGGUGAAAUGCGUAGAUAUCUGCAGGAACACCAGUGGCGAAGGCGGCGCGCUGGACCGCWACUGACGCUGAGAGACGAAAGCUAGGGGAGCAAACAGGAUUAGAUACCCUGGUAGUCCUAGCCCUAAACGAUCAGGACUUGACGUGGGCCCCGUCCGGGGUCCGUGCCGUAGCCAACGCGAUAAGUCCUGCGCCUGGGGAGUACGGUCGCAAGGCUG